This is a non-coding RNA of Bombyx mori (domestic silkworm), 84 nucleotides long. The record is from Rfam. NCBI's taxonomy places the organism in Eukaryota, Metazoa, Arthropoda, Insecta, Lepidoptera, Bombycidae.
UUAGCUCAUAUUUGUAUGGAAUGGUAUCGUUUGCGUACGUUUGCCGCUAGGGGCGCUGUUCCAACUGCAUACAAAAUUGAGUUA